RNAcentral lists this ribosomal RNA (501 nucleotides) under Triticum aestivum (bread wheat). RNAcentral describes it as "partial small subunit ribosomal RNA". Lineage: Eukaryota; Viridiplantae; Streptophyta; Magnoliopsida; Poales; Poaceae. The record is from RNAcentral.
AUGGCAGGGAAGGGAAGGCCAUCGGACACCCCCCAUGCCCCUCUGGAUCCGCUCGAUGGUGGUAGGCGGGAGGUGGAGGAACUAGGAGGGGAGAGUCACCGGCGACCCCCGAGCUCACCGGCCGACAUCCGAUCUGUGAAGCCAAGUUACCCUCGAUAUGGGGACGGAGAGGACGCCCCCACGAGGUCUUGGCGCGGAUCCGUUGUCGAGCAGCCGCGGAGGAUAACGACAGGGCGGAUCCAGCUGCCCUCGGCCAAGUGGUUGGCAGGGACGGCGAGGCGCGGAUCCGACGCCGACCACGUGCGAGAGCACUGCGAUGGGCGGAUCCGGUGGCUGGCCUACGAUGGCAGGUGGGGCAGGGAGGAUAGGUGGUUCGAGGUGAUGCGGCAGCGUAAGGGGGUGGAGGUGGCACGGAGGUGCAGGGGAGGGAGGUGGCGGUGGGAGGUCACCAGCCUGGGGCCACGGUGGUGGGAGGUCGCCAGCCUGGGGGCACGGCGGUGA